Molecule: ribosomal RNA, 745 nt
Filed under: Escherichia coli
Lineage: Bacteria; Pseudomonadati; Pseudomonadota; Gammaproteobacteria; Enterobacterales; Enterobacteriaceae
Description: partial 23S ribosomal RNA
Rfam family: Bacterial large subunit ribosomal RNA
Source: RNAcentral
AUGGGGGGACCAUCCUCCAAGGCUAAAUACUCCUGACUGACCGAUAGUGAACCAGUACCGUGAGGGAAAGGCGAAAAGAACCCCGGCGAGGGGAGUGAAAAAGAACCUGAAACCGUGUACGUACAAGCAGUGGGAGCCUCUUUAUGGGGUGACUGCGUACCUUUUGUAUAAUGGGUCAGCGACUUAUAUUCUGUAGCAAGGUUAACCGAAUAGGGGAGCCGAAGGGAAACCGAGUCUUAACUGGGCGUUAAGUUGCAGGGUAUAGACCCGAAACCCGGUGAUCUAGCCAUGGGCAGGUUGAAGGUUGGGUAACACUAACUGGAGGACCGAACCGACUAAUGUUGAAAAAUUAGCGGAUGACUUGUGGCUGGGGGUGAAAGGCCAAUCAAACCGGGAGAUAGCUGGUUCUCCCCGAAAGCUAUUUAGGUAGCGCCUCGUGAAUUCAUCUCCGGGGGUAGAGCACUGUUUCGGCAAGGGGGUCAUCCCGACUUACCAACCCGAUGCAAACUGCGAAUACCGGAGAAUGUUAUCACGGGAGACACACGGCGGGUGCUAACGUCCGUCGUGAAGAGGGAAACAACCCAGACCGCCAGCUAAGGUCCCAAAGUCAUGGUUAAGUGGGAAACGAUGUGGGAAGGCCCAGACAGCCAGGAUGUUGGCUUAGAAGCAGCCAUCAUUUAAAGAAAGCGUAAUAGCUCACUGGUCGAGUCGGCCUGCGCGGAAGAUGUAACGGGGCUAAACCAUG